Molecule: ribosomal RNA, 253 nt
Filed under: uncultured bacterium
Lineage: Bacteria
Description: partial 16S ribosomal RNA
Rfam family: Bacterial small subunit ribosomal RNA
Source: RNAcentral
UACGGGGGGGGCAAGCGUUGUUCGGAAUUACUGGGCGUAAAGGGCUCGUAGGCGGCCAACUAAGUCAGACGUGAAAUCCCUCAGCUUAACUGGGGAACUGCGUCUGAUACUGGAUGGCUUGAGUGUGGGAGAGGAAUGCGGAAUUCCAGGUGUAGCGGUGAAAUGCGUAGAUAUCUGGAGGAACACCGGUGGCGAAGGCGGCAUCCUGGACCAACACUGACGCUGAGGAGCGAAAGCCAGGGGAGCUAACGGG